RNAcentral lists this transfer-messenger RNA (365 nucleotides) under Lachnospiraceae. RNAcentral's name for it is "Mobilitalea saccharofermentans Standard tmRNA". It matches the Rfam family "transfer-messenger RNA". Rfam says of the family: Bacterial tmRNA, also known as 10Sa RNA or SsrA, is named for its dual tRNA and mRNA-like properties. Its role is to liberate the mRNA from a stalled ribosome. The record is from RNAcentral. RNAcentral also lists the same sequence under 1 other name. Lineage: Bacteria; Bacillati; Bacillota; Clostridia; Lachnospirales.
GGGGUUGUACUGGUUUCGACGGGGGUUUUGAAAUUGCGGAAGCCAUUCGCAGACUAGGACUGCGUCACCAACUUAGAACUAAAUAUAAACGCAAACGAUAAUUACGAAUUAGCUGCUGCGUAAGCAGUUUGUCGACCUUAAGCAACUCGCGGCUUAAGACCUCGGCAUCAAAUUAGCGGGGCCCUCUAUUUCCAAAGCUUUGAGGAGGUAGAAGAAACAUGAAGCUACCAAAGCUAAGAGCCUGUCUGUCGGCGCUUAGUGGAGGGAACAGCGAACUUCGGGUUCGCAUAAAAGACCGACUGUAAUGGGAGAAACUGCAAUGAAUGGGCUUUCGGACAGGGGUUCAACUCCCCUCAGCUCCAUUA